Molecule: ribosomal RNA, 408 nt
Filed under: uncultured bacterium
Lineage: Bacteria
Description: partial 16S ribosomal RNA
Rfam family: Bacterial small subunit ribosomal RNA
Source: RNAcentral
GACGAACGCUGGCGGCGUGCUUAACACAUGCAAGUCGAACGGAGUGGCGAACGGGUGAGUAACGCGUAAUCAACCUGCCCUUCAGAGGGGGACAACAGUUGGAAACGACUACUAAUACCGCAUACUGAAGGAGGGGAGUGCGUCUGAUUAGCUUGUUGGAGGGGUAACGGCCCACCAAGGCGAUGAUCAGUAGCCGGUCUGAGAGGAUGGACGGCCACAUUGGGACUGAGACACGGCCCAGACGCAUACGGGAGGCAGCAGUGGGGAAUCUUCCGCAAUGGACGAAAGUCUGACGGAGCAACGCCGCGGGAGUGAUGACGGCCUUCGGGUUGUAAAGCUCUGUGAAUCGGGACGCGGUACCGGAAUAGAAAGCCACGGCUAACUACGUGCCAGCAGCCGCGGUAAUUC